CGGGGCGUAGCGCAGCCUGGCAGCGCGCCUGCUUUGGGAGCAGGAAGCCGGCGGUUCAAAUCCGCCCGCCCCGACCA
RNAcentral lists this transfer RNA (77 nucleotides) under Planctomycetota bacterium. RNAcentral's name for it is "tRNA-Pro". It matches the Rfam family "tRNA". From Rfam's summary of the family: Transfer RNA (tRNA) molecules are approximately 80 nucleotides in length. The record is from RNAcentral. Lineage: Bacteria; Pseudomonadati; Planctomycetota.